This 69-nucleotide transfer RNA is filed under the name Siganus vulpinus (foxface). RNAcentral describes it as "tRNA-Arg". It matches the Rfam family "tRNA". Rfam says of the family: Transfer RNA (tRNA) molecules are approximately 80 nucleotides in length. Their secondary structure includes four short double-helical elements and three loops (D, anti-codon, and T loops). Further hydrogen bonds mediate the characteristic L-shaped molecular structure. tRNAs have two regions of fundamental functional importance: the anti-codon, which is responsible for specific mRNA codon recognition, and the 3' end, to which the tRNAs corresponding amino acid is attached (by aminoacyl-tRNA synthetases). tRNAs cope with the degeneracy of the genetic code in two manners: having more than one tRNA (with a specific anti-codon) for a particular amino acid; and 'wobble' base-pairing, i.e. permitting non-standard base-pairing at the 3rd anti-codon position. Lineage: Eukaryota; Metazoa; Chordata; Actinopteri; Siganidae. The record is from RNAcentral. RNAcentral also lists the same sequence under 1 other name.
AGGCCAUUAGUUUAAAAAAAACAUUUGAUUUCGGCUCAAAAGCUUCUGGUUCAAGUCCAUAAUGACCUA